CUUCUAAUGAAUUAUUUUCUAAUUACAGGGGGUGGAUAUGAACCAGAAGACUAUUUAAAAUCAUCGAAGACGAUGAAGCUGGCAUACGUUGUGUUCAUUGCUAAGAGUGCACUGUAUGGCCUUGUCAUCUUUGUGUUCGUGUUGAGAAAGGGUUCAUGUGGAAAGUGAAUGAACAAAACAUAUCUGGAUUGUUGGAGUUGCCAAGAAAACUUCAUUUUCUCCAACCAUAAGAGAUGCUGUUUAUAUAACUGAAGAGUCUAUUAUUUUAUUUUAUUUUCUGAGUGUUUAUUCCAAUGAAAGCCUGCAUAUACUUCAGAUCAGAUUAAUCAUAAAAAUCUACUUUUUGAUUAUAUAUUAUUCUUUUGCUUGUUUCCUUGCUACUGUGUUUAGUGUUAAUUUCAUAGAAUUCUAAAAGAGACUUUACAGAGAUGAAUAUAAUUCA
This is a long non-coding RNA of Sinocyclocheilus grahami, 442 nucleotides long. RefSeq lists it as uncharacterized. NCBI's taxonomy places the organism in Eukaryota, Metazoa, Chordata, Actinopteri, Cypriniformes, Cyprinidae. The record is from RefSeq and is a predicted model, not a curated record. The transcript is spliced from 3 exons.